This is a long non-coding RNA of Pongo pygmaeus (Bornean orangutan), 2132 nucleotides long. RefSeq lists it as uncharacterized. The record is from RefSeq and is a predicted model, not a curated record. The transcript has 3 exons. Lineage: Eukaryota; Metazoa; Chordata; Mammalia; Primates; Hominidae.
CAUCUCACAAAGUCUGAUUUUUUCAGGGGUUUUCACUUUUUCAUCGUCCUCAUUUUUCCUUGGUGCCGCCAGGUAAGAAGUGCCUUUCGCCUCCUGCCGUGAUUCUGAGGCCUCCCCAGCCAUGUGGAACUCUAUACCUGGUCUGAAAAUGGAGAUCGCAUGCACCUUACUGCACCCCCUUCGCACCCCGUCUCUCCUCUGCGUAAGGAAAUGGCCCAGGAACCUCUGCCUGCAUCAUCUGUGUCCUGCUCUGAGACAGUGCCUGCCUCACUCAUAGACCUUCCCCACUCCCAGGGCUGCUGGAGCCCAGCUCUUGGGCCUUCAUGGGACCAAGCUUCCUCCCUGAAGCCUGGUGCAAAGGAGGUUUUGGUAUCAGAAUGAUGCUGGCCUCAAAAUGGAUAAAGAGUCAAGACCCAUCGGUGUGCGUACUUGGGAGACCCAUCUCACGUGCAAAGACACACAUAGGCUCACAAUAAACGGACGGAGGAAUAUUUACCAAGCAAAUGGAAAGCAAAAAAAAGCAGAUGCUGCCAUCCUAGUCUCUGAUAAAACAGACUUUAAACCAACAAAGAUAAAAAAAGACAAAGAAGGGCAUUACAUAAUGGUAAAGGGAUCAACACAACAAGAAGAGCUAACUAUCCUAAAUAUAUAUGCACCCACUACAGGAGCACCCAGAUUCAUAAAGCAAGUUCUUAGAGACCUACAAAGAUACUUAGGCUUCCACACAAUAAUAGUGGGAGGCUUUAACACCCGACUGUCAAUAUUAGACAGAUCAAGGAGACAGAAAAUUAACAAGGAUAUUCAGGACUUGAACUCAGCUCUGGAUCAAGCGGAUGUAAUAGACAUCUACAGAACUCUCCACCCCAAAUCAACAGAAUAUACAUUCUUCUCAGCACCACAUCACACUUAUUCUAAAAUUGACCACAUAAUUGGAAGUAAAACACUCCUCAGCAAAUGCAAAAUAAUGGAAAUUAUAACAGUCUCUCAGACCACAGUGCAAUCCAAUUAGAACUCAGGAUUAAGAGACUCACUCAAAACCACACAACUACAUGGAAACUGAACAACCUGCUCCUGAAUGACUACUGGGUAAAUAACAAAAUUAAGGCAGAAAUAAAUAAGUUCUUUGAAAACAAUGAGAACAAAGAUACAAAAUACCAGAAUCUCUGCUAAAGCAGUGUUUACAGGGAAAUUUAUAGCACUAAAUGCCCACAGGAGAAAGUGGGAAAGAUCUAUAAUCGACAUCCUAACAUCACAAGUAAAAGAACCAGAGAAGCAAGAGUAAACAAAUUCAAAAGCUAGCAGAAGACAAGAAAUAACUAAGAUCAGAGCAGAACUGAAGAAGAUAGAGACACAAAAAACCCUUCAAAAAAUUGAUGAAUCCAGGAGCUGGUUUCUUGAAAAGAUUAGCAAAAUAGACCGCUAACCAGACUAAUAAAGAAGAAAAGAGAGAAGAAUCAAAUAGACACAAUAAAAAAAUGAUAAAAGGGAUAUCACCAUUUAUCCCACAAAAAUACAAACUACCCUCAGAGAAUACUAUAAAAAAACACCUCUAUGCAAAGAAACUAGAAAAUCUAGAAGAAAUGGAUGAAUUCCUGGACACAUACACCCUCCUGAGACUAAACCAGGAAGAUGUCGAAUCCCUGAGUGGACCAAUAACAAAUUCUGAAAUUGAGGCAGUAAUUAAUAGCCUUCCAACCAAAAAAAGCCCAGGACCAGACGGAUUCACAGUCAAGUUCUACCAGAGGUACAAAGAGGAACUGGUAUCAUUCCAUUUGGUUUUUUUUUUUUUUUCAGACGGAGUCUUGCUCUUGUUGCCCAGGCUGAAGUACAAUGGUACAAUCUUGGCUCACUUCAACCUUCACCUCCCUGGUUCAAGUGAUUCUCCUGCCUCAGCCUCCUGAGUAGCUGGGAUUACAGGCGUGUGCCACCACGCACAGGUAAUUUUUAUAUUUUUAGCAGAGACAAAGUUUCACCAUGUUGGCCAGGCUGGUCUCGAACUUCUGACCUCAAGUGAUCCACCUGCCUCUGCCUCCCAAAGUGCUGGGAUUACAGGCGUGAGCCACCACGACUCACUGGGAAACAGCUUUAUUUCGUCGGUGGCAGAGUUACAGCUCUGUGACUGCUGCUCCCAU